RNAcentral lists this small RNA (3361 nucleotides) under Pan troglodytes (chimpanzee). RNAcentral describes it as "retained intron". Lineage: Eukaryota; Metazoa; Chordata; Mammalia; Primates; Hominidae. The record is from RNAcentral.
GGGCUUUUUUUUGGACAGACUUGGUUACCCCCGCCACCUCCGGAACUGGGGCUUGUUACAAAUAGAAGCAGUGGUCCCCUGGGAGGUGCAGUUCUGGGUUCUGGUGUCUCCACCCCUUCCUCACGCUCCCCGGGCAUCCCCAGGCAGCUUACAGUGUUUCUCUUCUCUUCAGCACCGUGAGGGAGUUCCUGCCUGGCGACAGCAGCUCCCAGCAGCACCAGCGGCCUGUCCUGAGCUUCCAUGUGGAUCCCUAUGUUUGCAACCCCUCCCCAGAGUCGCUGCCCAACGUGGUGGUGAAUGGUGUGCUCCAGGGCCUCUACAGCUUCAGCAUCAGCCCAGAUAAAGCCCAGCCAAAGGCGGCCUGUCACCCUGCUCCUCUGCCACCGAUGCCCUGAUCAGUCCAGAGGCCUUUGGCUGCCUCCUAAGAAAGUCAUGUGCCUCUGUCCUAUGAACUCCAUAUAAGGCUGGGUCCUCCUUUGGCCUGGAACCAGGACUUAAUUACCCAGUGCCCAGUUGUGCCACAUUCCCACUCAAGGCUCAGAACUUGGCUCGCAUUGGUAGCUGGAGGUGGUAGAAUCUGCAUGCUCUUAGAGCCCAACAGCCAAGGCAGGGUCAAGAAGAUAAGUAAUAAAAGAGGAAGUCAGCCAGGCGCGGUGGCUCAUGCCUGUAAUCCCAGCACUUUGGGAGGCCAAGGUGGGUGGAUCACCUGAGGUCAGGAGUUCGAGACCAGCCUGACCACCAUGGAGAAACCCCGUCUCUACUAAAAAUACAAAAUUAGCCGGGCAUUGUGGUGGUGCAUGCCUGUAAUCCCAGCUACUCGGGAAGCUGAGGUAGGAGAAUCUCUUUUUUUUUUUUUUUUUUUUUUGAGACGGAGUUUCACUCUUGUUGCCCAGGCUGGAAUGCAAUGGCACGAUCUCGGCUCACGGCAACCCCCGCUUCCCGGGUUCAAGCAAUUCUCCUGCCUCAGCCUCUCGAGUAGCUGGGAUUACAGGCAUCCGCCACCAUGCCCGGCUAAUUUUUGUAUUUUUAAUAGAGACGGGUUUCACCACGUUGGCCAGGCUGGUCUUGUACUCCUGACGUCAGGUGAUCCACCCACCUCGGCUUCCCAAAGUGCUGGGAUUACGGGCGUGAGCCACCGUGCUCGGCCCAAGGCAGGAGAAUCUCUUGAAGCCAGGAGGCGGAAGUUGUGGUGAGCCGAGAUCGCGCCACUGCACUCCAGCCUGGGCAACAAGAGUGAAACUCUGUCUCAAAAUAAAUAAAUAAUAAAGGAAGAAGUCAGCUGGGUGCAGAGGCUCAUGCCUGUAAUCCCAAUACUUUAGGAGGCCAAGGCAGGAGGAUGCUUGAGUCUGGAAGUUUGAGACCAGCCAGCGCAACAUAGUGAGACCUGUAGACCUGUCUCUACCAAAAAAAAAAAAAAAAAAAAAAUCAAUUUAGAGGUAGGCUAUGAAAAAGUACAGAUACAUCCCUUAACAUAGACUGGAGGGUGGUGGCAAAUGUGGAGGCCCAGUAGCUGGCAAAGUUUAGAAGCAGGGGGCAAAAGCUCCUGCCUGACUUUUCCUGGGUAGCUCCUGGGUCAAAAUUUCAGGCAGGAUCCCAGGGAAGGGGCAGGCACCCGUUGCCACAGGAGAGUUGCAGGCAUGUUGGGAUGUAGGCCUAGGGGAGGUGCUGCAGGCUCAAGAACCAGGCCCACACAUUAUAUAUUAAAAAAAAAAAACCCACUUUUUUUUUUAUUGGUCAGUGUUGGUAGGAGUUUGUUACAAAACUGAGUCCAUGGGCCUGUGGAAUGUGAGGGGAGUGGGUCCGCUCCACCAGAUGCCAGCACCGGGGCCAGUGCAGCUCAGAGCCCUGUGGCGGACUACAGGGCCUGCACAGACGGUCACUCAAAGAAAGACGUCCCUGUGCCCUACUCCUUGGCGAUGGCAAAGGGCUUCUCCACCUCGAUCUUGCCGCAGUCUGCGAUGAUCACAUCCUUCAGGGGUUUAUCCCGGCUGUCUGUCUUGGUGCUCUCCACCUUCCGCACCACCUCCUGGAAAAGAAAGGUGGAAGUAGGAGGGCAUGGUGGAUCAGGAGGUCCACCGCUCAGGAGAAAGGCCCCAGCGUAUGGCUCAGGAGGGCUAAGACCCACAAGUGAUCAACAGCACACAAAACUGGAGGCACCAAAAUUCUAACAGACUCCUGGCCAGAGCAGGGAGAAUGCAGAUUUGACGAGGGGGUACAGGAAUUUUGUUCCUUUGAAGUAAGACCCAGGUUGGGCCAAGGGUGAGGAGGAGGAAGAGGGUGACCAGGGCAUGUGGCUUCUCAGGGACACUGCGUUCAGCUGCACUCUGUAUACCUCAGGGGUGGGACCAGCACGUCACUGAGUGAAUGAGGGGAGGGAGGCUCUGGCAGUUGUGCAGCCUUCCUGGCUGGGCUCUGAGGGGGCUGGAAGAAUUUAGAACCUUGGAGGCAUGGAGGUACAGGGUUUAUUCUGGACAGGAGCACUGGGCUGCAUCUGUGGGUUGGGUCCUUUUGGGAAAGGGAUGGACACAUGGAGCUCCUGCCCUGAGGUCUGUGUUGACUCCCCGGUGAGGAUUGCCCAGUAGUAGCCCUUGCUUCCACAACUCACCAUGCCCUCUAGAACUUUGCCAAACACCACAUGCUUGCCAUCUAGCCAGGCUGUCUUGACUGUCGUGAUGAAGAACUGGGAGCCGUUGGUGUCUUUGCCUGCGUUGGCCAUGCUCACCCAGCCAGGCCCGUAGUGCUUCAGUUUGAAGUUCUCAUCGGGGAAGCGCUCACCGUAGAUGCUCUUUCCUGGGAAAAAAGACAGAGCAGGUCAGGGGCGCUGGAUUGCGCCAAACCAAGCAGACAUUCGGGGCCAGGACUGAGGGGGCUUAACCUGUCCUCUGUGCCAGGCUAGGCUGGAGUGGACUACAAGGACAUAAAAGCUGCGUCCUUCCUAUCUUCUGGCCUCAGAGCCAAGCCAUGCUGACUGAGGCCAAGUGGGGCAUCAGGCCAGGCUGAUGUGGUGAACAGCUCACAGAAGGAUUACUUCAAGAAGAUAGUUUUGUGGCUUUUAAAUAAGGCGCAUGUUAUCAGCUCCCCUUAGCUAUAGCCCAGGCCUGCCACGGAGGGACUUUGGUGGAGGGAAGUGCCGUGCAGGAUGCAGGGGAGUCAACAGGGUCGGAACUCUCCAGAAAAGGAGGACUGCUGUGGCUGACCAGCCUGUUUUCCUAUGAGCACAAAAGACACAGGCAUAGCUGCAGAGGAGAAAGCAGCCAGAGAUGGGUGGGGAGGGGCAGAAAAGAGGGGCUGCCCCUUGGAUUCCGGAGAGUCAAAGCCUCUUAACAAGGAAUGAACAGGAAUAAAAGACAGCUGUGAGUGU